AAUGCCUUUCCAUUCAUCUGGCUGGCGAAUUGACCUUGAUUAUUGCAGGGAGCUCAGCUUAGUGUGCCAACCAGGGUAUCUGCAUGUGGACUCUCUAGCUGGGUGGUCUCAGAGUCAUUGGACCACUUACAUGAUCUGGCUCCCCCUAGAAUAAAUGUCCCAAGAUAACUUGUCAGAAGCUGUAUGCCUUUGUAGGACUUGCACUCAGAAGUCAAAGACCAUCAGUUCUGAUAUAUCCUACUGGUAGAAGCAGUUAUAAACCUGCCCACAUUCAAGGUGCAAUGACUGGAAGACAGCAGUGAUCGUGCCACAGAGAGGUUGAGCCAUGUGUGUACCUAGUGCUGGACUGGAGAGGCUGAAUUGGAACUGUGGUCCUUGGAUGCCCUCAAGAAAUCAUUCCAUCUCGAGAUUGUGGUGCCUGACUUGUUGCUAUGUGAGGAAAAUACCUUGCUUUUCAUGCCAGUACUUAUUGGCAUUUUUGACACUUGCAGCCACAUGUUUUCACUGAUAUUUGUCCAAAGUCAUGCACAUACUGAGUGGGAGGGCUGGGUUUCCAGGCCAUAUUUCUUAAGAUCUGCUGUUGUGUUCUCUUGUUAAACAGCAUAGAGAAGCUUGGGUAAGGAAUGUAGCUAGAUACUUCCACAUGGAAAACCCCCUCAUUAACUCUUUAAUCACCCCAAGACAUACUUCCUACAGAAAAGAGGGUUAAAUGCUUGAUUUGUAAACCAGUUGCUUUUGCCCAAGGCCAGGUGGUUCUCUGAAUAAGAUCCGGAUUAACACACAUUAUCAGCAUCUCCUUAGCAGGGAACAAGAUGCCUCUGGCCUUCUGUAAUGAACUGAUGAAACAUACAAGCUUUUUCUUGCUUCUUGUCAAAUGAUUUCCAAACCUUCCACACCAAACAUGCCUCUUUUCUUAACUCCCUGCAAGGUACAAUAUGUUUUGAAAGAUUUUGUUGAGUGAAUUACACUUGUUAAUAAAAACUUGAUUCCUUUUUUUCAUUUAAA
Non-coding RNA from Ictidomys tridecemlineatus (thirteen-lined ground squirrel), 1005 nucleotides. Lineage: Eukaryota; Metazoa; Chordata; Mammalia; Rodentia; Sciuridae. The record is from RefSeq and is a predicted model, not a curated record.